Molecule: ribosomal RNA, 933 nt
Filed under: uncultured archaeon
Lineage: Archaea
Description: bacterial SSU rRNA
Rfam family: Archaeal small subunit ribosomal RNA
Source: RNAcentral
UUCCGGUUGAUCCUGCCGGACCUGACUGCUAUUGGAGUAGGACUAAGUCACGCUAGUCAAAGGUGCGGAAUGGAGCACCUGGCGUACGGCUCAGUAACACGUAGUCAACCUACCCUAAGGACGAGGACAACCACGGGAAACUGUGGAUAAUACUCGAUAAGAAAUUUGGCCUGGAACGGUAUCUUUCACAAAACCGGCUCGCCGUGAGACACGGGCCUUAGGAUGGGGCUGCGGCUGAUUAUGCUAGAUGGCGGUGUAAAGGACCACCAUGGCUACGAUCAGUAUGGGCGAUGGAAGUCGGAGCCCAGAGUCGGCUACUGAGACAAGGAGCCGAGCUUUACGAAGCUUAGCGGUCGCGAAAACUCGCCAAUGCACGAAAGUGUGAGUGGGCUACUCCAAGUGUCAUUCUUACGGAUGACUGUCGCACAGUCUUACCAGCUGUGAAAGGAAGGAGAGGGCAAGGCUGGUGCCAGCCGCCGCGGUAAAACCAGCUCUUCGAGUGGUCAGGACGAAUAUUGGGUCUAAAGCGCUCGUAGCCGGACAAGUAGGUUCUUGGUUAAAUCCGACAGCAUAACUGUUGGUCUGCUGGGAAUACCGCUAGUCUUGGGAGCGGGAGAGGACAGAGGUAGUCAUAGGGCAGGGGUGAAAUCCAGUGAUCCUAUGGCGACCACCGAUGGCGAAGGCAUCUGUCUGGAACGUAUCCGACGGUGAGGGGCGAAAGCUAGGGGAGCGACCCGGAUUAGAUACCCGGUUAGUCCUAGCCGUAAACGAUGCGGACUAGGUGUUACAGCGGCCAAGAGCCACUGUAGUGCCACAGUGAAGACGUUAAGUCCGCCACCUGGGGAGUACGGAUGCAAGUCUGAAACUUAAAGGAAUUGACGGGGGCGCACCACCAGGAGUGAAGCCUGCGGUUUAAUUGGAUUCAACGCCGGG